UACUGAUGGUAAGGGCAUUAGGCAAGUAACAACUUGAGAUGCUCCUAUGUAUCAUGAGUAGGUUCUCCUUCCUUUUGAGAAAAUGUGUAAAUCUUAUUCUUUAUGUU
Coffea eugenioides is the source of this 107-nucleotide small nucleolar RNA. NCBI's taxonomy places the organism in Eukaryota, Viridiplantae, Streptophyta, Magnoliopsida, Gentianales, Rubiaceae. The record is from RefSeq and is a predicted model, not a curated record.